UACAGAGGUCUCAAGCGUUGUUCGGAUUUAUUGGGCGUAAAGGGUGCGUAGGCGGCGCGGUAAGUCGGGUGUGAAAUCUCGGAGCUUAACUCCGAAACUGCAUUCGAUACUGCCGUGCUUGAGGACUGGAGAGGAGACUGGAAUUUACGGUGUAGCGGUGAAAUGCGUAGAUAUCGUAAGGAAGACCAGUGGCGAAGGCGGGUCUCUGGACAGUGCCUGACGCUGAGGCACGAAGGUCAGGGGAGCAAACGGG
This 253-nucleotide ribosomal RNA is filed under the name uncultured bacterium. RNAcentral's name for it is "partial 16S ribosomal RNA". It matches the Rfam family "Bacterial small subunit ribosomal RNA", at positions 524 to 776 of the family's 1533-position model. The record is from RNAcentral.